GCCAGAUGCCUUGGCAUAUACCUGUAAUCCCAGUGAUUGGGAGGCAGAGGCAGGAGGAUCACAAGUUGGAGGCCAGCCUGGCCAUUGUUGCAAGAUCCUGUCUCAA
Molecule: small RNA, 106 nt
Filed under: Marmota monax (woodchuck)
Lineage: Eukaryota; Metazoa; Chordata; Mammalia; Rodentia; Sciuridae
Source: RNAcentral